GUUGGUUGGAAUUGGGACGUCAUUUUAAUUGCAACUUUUUUUUUUUUUUAAAUCGAAUACAGGUUUUGCACCAUUUGAUUGUGUCUGUGCUGAACGUGAUCAUAUGACAGUGUUAGAUAUUGUGGAGCCUACUGUGAAAGGUGAGACCCCCUGAGCAGCCCAUUGGUGGGUUACUUUUGGGGAUAGAUCCAUCCCCAAGCAGUGCAGCAACCAACCGCUCCUGAUUUCAUAAGCUCAUCUCUGUAGGCUGUACCAAAGCCAUGUAGUUUCAGAGGCUUAGUCAUGCCUAGACAAUGCUCAAAUAUGAGGCCCAGCCCCUAAUCCCUUCUUUACCCUCCCCACAAUAAACCAAGUUACUACCCAGAGCUCUGAAUCCUCUCAUAAUUUCCAUCCCCACUUACCACAUGACUAACAAUCAUCAAAUCCCAAAUAAUAUUACUCCCAUCCUCUUUAAUCCUCUCAUCACUCCAUCACAUUACCCCAUCACAUUCCCUUAAUUACCAUUUUUCCAGCCCUGUCACCCCCAUACAAAAUUCUCAUAUUCACUUUACCCCAUCCUUCCAAACUCCUAUCAACCCAAUGCCCUGAUCACAUUAUCUCGUUCUCAUAAUUCUAUUCACCUCAUAAUCCCUUACUCCAAUCCCCAUAAUGGCAAUAAGUCCCAAAACUUUCCAUAACCACCUCAGACUUAAACCAUGUGACUAUAGAUUUCAUAUGCUUGAAAUGUUCAGUUAUAAAUGUAGACUUUAUGCCAAAGUCUAUUUGCACUUGAGAUUUGGCUCAUGAUUUUUAAAGCACAAGAUGCCAAAAUCACAAAUUCAGAUUUCAUUAUUAAGCCCACAGUAGUCCUCAGCUCCAGGCCUCCUCUGAACACCCUAAUCCAGCACUUCUCACCCUCAACUUCAUAAUCCCUUCAUAACCAGCCACUGCAAUCACAAUACCCCCAUCAUACAAUCCCAUCAAUCUCCGACCCAAUUACAUUACUCAUCUCAAAUACCAUCAAGCCCAAUCCUUUUAUGUUCUUCAGUAAUUCCAUCACACUCAGAUGCAAUUACAUGCAUACCAUAAUCCAAUCACCACAAACCAUAAUCACAUUUCCUAUUCCAUCCUAUAACCCCCAGCCCCGUCGAUCACAUUAUCUGAAUACUCUUCAAAUUUGCCCAUCACCAUUAACCAUACUCCCCAUCGAAUCAAUUGCUGAGUCCACCAGAACUGGUGGUGUAGUGGUGCAGCUUGCGUUUAGCAGCUGGUCUAGGUGCACUGACCAGGAGCUAAUGUUCCUCUGUGCUGUGUGGAUGGUGGACCAUCUCUCAAAUACAACACUGCAAGGGAGCACUGACUGGCUGUCACUGUUCCCUUGCAACACUACAGCCAGGGGACGGACUGCUGGAUCUGGUGCAUGGGCAGGUACACUGAGGGGCAGCACGCAUGGGGACUUUGGAAAGUCCCCAUUAGGCUGUCCCUGUGUGCCCAUCUGGGCAUAAUACCACCUAUCUCUGCCUUUCUUUAUCUAGUCAAACAAAAGUUAUUCCCAGUCAUCUGGUCCCAUCAUCUAUAAUCUAUCAUAUUUUCACAGUUUUUUGGGGUUUUUUCGGAAGAGCCACUUGCUCAGACCUCUUCAGUUUUUCAGUGUCCCUAAAAUAACGUCCUUUAGAAUAGCGAUAGCUGACAAUGGCGCUUGAAAUGUUUGUGAACUAUUUUCUUAAUAUGCUCAGCAAGUUCAAAUAGCUGCAGUGCCAAGGUAAUCCAGCUCGAUUUUAGUAUUAAUACCUGCACAUUCUCUUAUUUGCUGUAUCAGGACCCAUAACAUGUUGAAGGUUACAAACCAGAAACCAGAUUUACACAGUACUCUGGUUUUAUUGAUAUUCUCCUGCUGUGACUCACGGCACAGAAACAACAGGUGUCCCAUCAAUAAAAUAGGCAGCGUAAAGAGGAAUGACAUUUAACAUAAUCCGAAGCAGUCAUAAAUAUAACUCUAUUUGAUAGAAGAUACAAUACAUAGAAUGGUAAGGCCUCUGUCUAAAAAAAAUAAAACUGUCUUAUGGCAGUAACUGUGGGUUUUAAUGGGAGAUAUGUAUUAUAUUGAAGUGUAUUCGCAAAGUGGUGAAUAACAAUCUCAUAAUCAAUAUUUUUCAACAUGAGAUAAGCUGUUAAUGAUGUUGAAAAGAUAACAAUCCCAUGGUUCAGAAACUUUUCAAGAAAAAGUCUUGAAAAGUCAAUGAAAACAUUUUUGUUACAAUUACCCAACACCCUAAAAUAUUUCUAUGUUUUAGUGAAUGAACAGAUUCAACGAUGUACACAAGCAAUAUUAACUGAAAAUUCUUCACAAAUCAAUUAGACCAACUAAAG
This is a non-coding RNA of Pelobates cultripes (western spadefoot toad), 2349 nucleotides long. NCBI's taxonomy places the organism in Eukaryota, Metazoa, Chordata, Amphibia, Anura, Pelobatidae. The record is from the annotation of a GenBank genome assembly.